AAAGAAAUAUCUUUAAACUAUGCUUCUAACAUAGGUUCAAAGCGCUAAAUGCGUUUAUAUUUCU
This is a non-coding RNA of Cylas formicarius (sweet potato weevil), 64 nucleotides long. NCBI's taxonomy places the organism in Eukaryota, Metazoa, Arthropoda, Insecta, Coleoptera, Brentidae. The record is from the annotation of a RefSeq genome assembly.